RNAcentral lists this ribosomal RNA (158 nucleotides) under Dirina paradoxa. Its description in RNAcentral is "5.8S ribosomal RNA". It matches the Rfam family "5.8S ribosomal RNA". From Rfam's summary of the family: 5.8S ribosomal RNA (5.8S rRNA) is a component of the large subunit of the eukaryotic ribosome. It is transcribed by RNA polymerase I as part of the 45S precursor that also contains 18S and 28S rRNA. The record is from RNAcentral. Lineage: Eukaryota; Fungi; Ascomycota; Arthoniomycetes; Arthoniales; Roccellaceae.
AAAACUUUCAACAACGGAUCUCUUGGUUCUGGCAUCGAUGAAGAACGCAGUGAAAUGCGAUAAGUAAUGUGAAUUGCAGAAUUUAGUGAAUCAUCGAAUCUUUGAACGCACCUUGCGCCCCCCGGCAUCCCGGCGGGCAUGCCUGUUCGAGCGUCAUU